This 493-nucleotide ribosomal RNA is filed under the name uncultured bacterium. Its description in RNAcentral is "partial 16S ribosomal RNA". It matches the Rfam family "Bacterial small subunit ribosomal RNA", at positions 30 to 523 of the family's 1533-position model. The record is from RNAcentral.
AUUGAACGCUGGCGGCAUACUUUACACAUGCAAGUCGAACGGUAACAGGUUAAGCUGACGAGUGGCGAACGGGUGAGUAAUGCAUCGGAACGUGCCCGGUCGUGGGGGAUAACGCAGCGAAAGCUGCGCUAAUACCGCAUACGAUCUAAGGAUGAAAGCGGGGGACCGUAAGGCCUCGCGCGAUCGGAGCGGCCGAUGUCAGAUUAGGUAGUUGGUGGGGUAAAGGCUCACCAAGCCAACGAUCUGUAGCUGGUCUGAGAGGACGACCAGCCACACUGGGACUGAGACACGGCCCAGACUCCUACGGGAGGCAGCAGUGGGGAAUUUUGGACAAUGGGCGAAAGCCUGAUCCAGCAAUGCCGCGUGCAGGAAGAAGGCCUUCGGGUUGUAAACUGCUUUUGUACGGAGCGAAAAGGCCUCCUCUAAUACAGGGGGCUCAUGACGGUACCGUAAGAAUAAGCACCGGCUAACUACGUGCCAGCCGCCGCAGUAA